ACUAUUGUCACGGGUUACCGCGGCUGCUGGCACGGAGUUAGCCGGUGCUUCUUCUGUGAGUGAUGUUCUUCCUGCCGGCUAUUAACCCGCAGGCUUCUUCCUCACUGAAAGUGCUUUACAACCCGAAGGCCUUCUUCACACACGCGGCAUGGCUGGAUCAGGGUUGCCCCCAUUGUCCAAUAUUCCCCACUGCUGCCUCCCGUAGGAGUCUGGGCCGUGUCUCAGUCCCAGUGU
This 234-nucleotide ribosomal RNA is filed under the name uncultured bacterium. Its description in RNAcentral is "partial 16S ribosomal RNA". The record is from RNAcentral.